CCCCGCAGCGAGUUGACCUUCGUCUCAUCGUCUCUACUGGGCGCUUCUUCCCCAACUGGCCACCAACCCUCUCGAUCUCUGGCAACUAGCGCCGCUUCACUCCUCCAGCGGAAGGAACGGGACUGCCCACUGCCGAUACCCCGUAUCCGAGCUCUGGGCCACAUCGCGCCCGAGCCUCCUUCCUACGACAACUCUCGAUUUGGCCGCCGCCGGCCGCCCCGAUCCCAAAAUUCCUCCACACCGCCCCGACCUGGAGUGAGGAGAGCCUUGCUUCUAGCGCUGCCUCUGCGUUGAUGAUCUUGGGCGUUCGACCUCGCGUGCUCCGAUCCAGGUAUAGGCGGGAGAGUCUCAUCCAUGCUGCACAUACAGGUGGGCGACCUCUUCAUGGCCCUGGACAAGUGCUAUUCCAUAUGGUGUCUGGCAAGCUCGCGUGAGGAUAUGGAGCGAGCUGGUUGCUGAUCUGCUCUGGGGCCGGUCAGCAAUGUGGCCCAUUUGUAGCUGAAUCUUAUCUGCCACCAUUUUUAUUGUUAGAAGCGCAAGUGUUGAGAUUCAUGUUAUGUCAACUUUGUGCAAUUGGAAAGGAGUCAGAUCGCCUUUGAGUAUGCACAAACAUGUAUCCUUUCCUCUGAUUUGUUACGGCAGACUACAUACCAAGCUUCAUCAAUUGAUGAUCUCAUUGAGAAAGCUGGUCAUCUGUUAUUAUCCGUACUGUUGCUGUUCAAAAUGAUUCAAUGAAAAAUCAUCAGAAAUAAA
Long non-coding RNA from Lolium perenne, 753 nucleotides. RefSeq lists it as uncharacterized. The record is from RefSeq and is a predicted model, not a curated record. NCBI's taxonomy places the organism in Eukaryota, Viridiplantae, Streptophyta, Magnoliopsida, Poales, Poaceae.